This is a long non-coding RNA of Nematostella vectensis (starlet sea anemone), 218 nucleotides long. RefSeq lists it as uncharacterized. NCBI's taxonomy places the organism in Eukaryota, Metazoa, Cnidaria, Anthozoa, Actiniaria, Edwardsiidae. The record is from RefSeq and is a predicted model, not a curated record. The transcript is spliced from 2 exons.
AGGAGAAAUGAGUUAUUUUUGGUCAAAGGUAUAAAUGAGAUUGCAUGACUGUCAGUAUCAGAUUUUUUGUCAGAGUGAAGUAUUUUUGCUUUUAGUCCGGCCAAAAUGACAGUAGAAUGUAUGGAACAGAACCUCGAUAUAACGAACAGGGUUCCCCAGUUCCUUCGUCAAAUCGAAGCCUUACGGUAGCUAUAAGCUAUUGUUUUUAAUUUACUCUC